This 94-nucleotide microRNA precursor is filed under the name Marmota monax (woodchuck). Lineage: Eukaryota; Metazoa; Chordata; Mammalia; Rodentia; Sciuridae. The record is from RNAcentral.
AGUGGGAUAACUGGAUCAAAUGGUGGUUCCAUUUUGAGGAAUCUCCAUACUGCUUUCCAGAGUGGUUGCACCAAUUUGCAGUCCCACUAGUAAU